AGUGAACGCUGGCGGUAGGCCUGACACAUGCAAGUCGAACGGCAGCACAGUAAGAGCUUGCUCUUACGGGUGGCGAGUGGCGGACGGGUGAGGAAUACAUCGGAAUCUACUUUUUCGUGGGGGAUAACGUAGGGAAACUUACGCUAAUACCGCAUACGACCUACGGGUGAAAGCAGGGGAUCUUCGGACCUUGCGCGAUUGAAUGAACCGAUGUCGGAUUAGCUAGUUGGCGGGGUAAAGGCCCACCAAGGCGACGAUCCGUAGCUGGUCUGAGAGGAUGAUCAGCCACACUGGAACUGAGACACGGUCCAGACUCCUACGGGAGGCAGCAGUGGGGAAUAUUGGACAAUGGGCGCAAGCCUGAUCCAGCCAUACCGCGUGGGUGAAGAAGGCCUUCGGGUUGUAAAGCCCUUUUGUUGGGAAAGAAAAGCAGCAGGUUAAUACCCCGCUGUUCUGACGGUACCCAAAGAAUAAGCACCGGCUAACUUCGUG
This 492-nucleotide ribosomal RNA is filed under the name uncultured bacterium. RNAcentral's name for it is "partial 16S ribosomal RNA". It matches the Rfam family "Bacterial small subunit ribosomal RNA", at positions 29 to 507 of the family's 1533-position model. The record is from RNAcentral.